Molecule: transfer RNA, 66 nt
Filed under: Hydrochus carinatus
Lineage: Eukaryota; Metazoa; Arthropoda; Insecta; Coleoptera; Hydrochidae
Description: tRNA-Asp
Rfam family: tRNA
About the family: Transfer RNA (tRNA) molecules are approximately 80 nucleotides in length.
Source: RNAcentral
GAAAAUUUAGUUAAAUUAAUAACAUUAGUUUGUCAAACUAAAAUUAAUAAAUCUUAUUAAUUUUCU